GGCUUAGAGAACCCUGAUUUCUAAAGAGAGGAAAAACAACAUGCAGGAUAAGCACAAAAUAAAAUAAACAUAUAUACAAAUUGCUACUGUCAAUUACAACAUUAUAAAAGAGAAUGCACUGCCAGAGAUUCAAUUCAAGUUCUACAGGUCAAAUCAUUGAUGCAAGAAUAGUUGCAAUAUAGUGCCAUCAAUAACAAGAAGAUGACAACUUAACCAAAGAAACAAUAACCAGCACAAGGAAACAAAAGAGAGGGAAGAUGGAAAGGAAGAAACAAACAUGAAAAUAUCCUUAGACUUACCAAAUUGAUCCUACAAAGUGUUCCUUCUUCUAAUAAUUAUUUAAUCAAUUACUUGAGCAUUUUGCUCUGUUGGUCACUAUAAAG
This 383-nucleotide unclassified non-coding RNA is filed under the name Hevea brasiliensis (rubber tree). The record is from RNAcentral. Lineage: Eukaryota; Viridiplantae; Streptophyta; Magnoliopsida; Malpighiales; Euphorbiaceae.